This 2729-nucleotide long non-coding RNA is filed under the name Lupinus angustifolius (narrow-leaved blue lupine). RNAcentral describes it as "long non-coding RNA (LANG_LNC001120)". The record is from RNAcentral. Lineage: Eukaryota; Viridiplantae; Streptophyta; Magnoliopsida; Fabales; Fabaceae.
UCAAGUGUCAACAUAAGUUGAAGUGUUUUUGUAAAUGAUAAAAAAUACAUGAGAACUAAAAUGAUAACAACAUGUCAAUACUCAAAAGUUCACACAGAAAUGAAUACAAUAACUAGCUAUUAACUGAAAAAUGAAACUUAAAUUAGAGUUCACAUAAAGUACACAAAAAUAAAAAAUUAACUGGUUUUCUAUCAAUCAAGACUCAUGGUUCCAUGCUCAUCUUUAACUCUUUGAGUUAUGUGGACUGAAUAUAAUGAGUAUUGAUAGGUACUCAUUUAACUAUUCUUGAUAUAUAACUAUAAUGGACGGGUCGAGUGACCUGGACAUAUACCUGAACCCGUCCUUUUUUUAUGACGGGUAUGUCCCUUUUAAUCGGGUCUAUCCUUCUUUAUUUAUUUGGACGGGUCUACGGAUCAGGUUGGGUCUUGCUCACCCCUAGAAGGCACGACUAGAAGGAGCAUGUUGAUUUUCAAAUCCAUGUUAGAACACGACAAGGAAGACAAAGUGAAGUUGGACACUGCCUAGUCAAAUCUCCUAAGAUAACAUGAAUCUAAGGAAGAAGAUAAGGCAUGAGGGAGUGUGGCUACGAAGUGAUAAUCUACAGAACAAAUUGGCAUGUGAAGAUUAGAGGAAAAUUCGGCUACACAAAGAGAAUAAAGAUUUGAUUUAACAAGCACAUUAAAAAUAUAAGUAUGCCAUUCAAAUUUAAAUGAUUGCACGACCAAGCCAACCAACAAAUCCCAAGGCUUUUCAUAUCCAAAGAAGAUAAAUCAAAUCUCAACAACCUAAUUCAACCAAAGUGCCUCAAGGCUCACGGCCAACCCAUUUUUAAAUUAAAAGAUAGGCAAGUGGGUUUGACCAAGACUAAUUCAAAAUCUAUUCAAAUUAAUACAAGGCAAUUCGGCCAAGGCAAAUCACAAAUCAAGGCCAAGUCAAAAAUUUUGCCAACUGUGAAUAUUUUACCACCAAGUUUAAGAUAGGUUUUGAUUUUGAAUUCAAGUGUUAUUUUCUUAUCUUUCAUGGAAGCCUUCGAGCAUUCUUUCAAUAAAUGUAACCAUGGACAUCAUUUAAUAAACAAGUUGAAAUUAUUUGGAUUAUAUCUUUGUUAAUGGGUGUUUUCUUCUAACUUCUUAGUUUAGCCAAGACUUGUUCUUAUCAAGAGAGUCAAUCUCUUGUGAUGAAUUUCACCGGCUUAUCAAACAUCCUAUGUUUAUGGCUUUCCCCUCAUAUCCCCACCCACGUUCUAAGACACUUACCUACAAUCAACAUCACCAAAUCACCCACAAAUCAACUAAACUAUGACCUUACCACCCUUAUACCCUCAACCUGUGGCCAAUCCACAACCCUACUCACCUAAACACUUCACCCAUACACCAAUUGUGGCCUUCACACCCUUACCCCCUCAACUCGUGACCAAACCUCAAACAUAUAUCCGAACCGUGACCACCCCAACCCUAAACCGUGAGAUCAGAUCAAACCGAAUAGUCACCAAUAUUGUUUGAGAUAAUUGACAUAAAAGAGAUGUUUUGAGUAACUACAAAAGUACAUCAUACUCUGCUUUUGAUAAGAGCCGAGCAUUGUCAUUUCUAAUUCCAUUCAGAGACAACAGCACCUGCAGUUUGACAGAAAUAACAAAACUUCAACACCUUUUGGUACACAAAUACAAUAAUAUCAUACCCUACAAAGAUAACUAGAAUGGAACAGAGAAGCUGGAUGGAUGGUCUUCAAAAGAGAGAAAAAAAGCCUUUCAUGUUGCACUUAGCACAUGAUAGAGCUCAAUGGAGACACUGGGCAAGAGAGUCACUAGCCAAUCCUUCAAUUAAAAGUAUAUUAAUAUUAUACACUUAUAUUCAAUUUCAUGAGAAACAAGAGAGUUACAAUACACUAUAAUCAAUUUCAUGAGAAACAUCAUCAAUUUUAUUAGUAUCUAUAUAUUCAUGAAUCACAGACAGAGGAUUGAACGAAAAUGCAUAAAAGAUAGAAUAAGAUUAUUAAGGGUGACCUGAAAUUAAUAUUGACAGUCAAUGAAGAUAGGAAUUACAGGAUUCGUCUACAAGAGAAGCUACCAAAAUCCCAUUUUGAAUGAACUAGUUCAAUUUAAAGAGGAAAAAACUUCACGCUUCACAAAAUUGAAUGUUCUUAUUAACAGAGGACGCAAAUACCUAUUUUCAAUCAAACAUGUAAGACCUAAUUUCCUAAUUUCAAAAUAAAAAAUACACAAAGAGGGAGAGGAUAGAGAUUAGAGCGAGAGCAGAAGUAUUAACAGUGAGUGAUAGUACCUUCGACAGUGGAGAAGAACCUUCGAUGGUGGAACGUGAACCGUAGGGUUUGUGAAGCAAUCACUUUUGAACCGUAGGGAUUCUGAAGCAAAAAUGUGAUAUGUGAAUUUAAGACCUUUUCUUUAACAAAUAAGAACAUAUAUACUUACAAAGAAGAAUGGGAUUAAGGAUUUUAAUUUUUGAGGAAAAAAUCCAACAACUCCAUUAAUACCCAACAAUGCCUUAAACCCAUUUUUUAAAUAGAUCUGGAAUGAAAUUAGUGUGAGGUAUGGGCGGCGCUGUAAGCAACAGUAGUGCAAACCCUGACUCUAUUUCAAAGGAGGGAGAAGAUGAUACUCUAAUAUUAUAAGAGAUUUUAGGGUUUGAUUUUUAUAAAUUAAAUAUAAAGAGCUGAAACUAACAUUGCUUAAGAAUGAAAUGAGUUGAAACCAAAGGUCAUGCUUAAAAAAG